GGGGCUAUAGCGCAGUUGGUAGCGCGCUUCCAUGGCAUGGAAGAGGUCGCGGGUUCGAUUCCCGCUAGCUCCA
This 73-nucleotide transfer RNA is filed under the name Varibaculum cambriense. RNAcentral describes it as "tRNA-Ala". It matches the Rfam family "tRNA". Rfam says of the family: Transfer RNA (tRNA) molecules are approximately 80 nucleotides in length. Their secondary structure includes four short double-helical elements and three loops (D, anti-codon, and T loops). RNAcentral also lists the same sequence under 8 other names. Lineage: Bacteria; Bacillati; Actinomycetota; Actinomycetes; Actinomycetales; Actinomycetaceae. The record is from RNAcentral.